UUCAUUAUAAAACAUGUUCAACUACUCUUACAGAUUUCGAUCAAGUUCUUUGUAACUUCAAUUAUAAUUAAAAGAUGCCGAAGUUGUGGUGCACUCGCUGUUAUGAUAUUACGUCAUAUCUUUUAAAUUUUAUUCUUUAAAUUUGGUGAUGGGGAGCAACAUUGCUUCAGUAACAAAAUGUUUUGAUAAUGUAGAAAUUGUGAAAGCAAUGUACAUACAAUAACAUUUCAUAAUAGUGUAUAAUCACAAUCUGUGUUACAUCAAAGAAAAUUUGACAGAGGCUGAAAUUAUGCACUUGCUAUUAUGAUAAUACUUCAUAUAUUUUUUAUAAGAGUUUGAAUUAUCC
This 346-nucleotide long non-coding RNA is filed under the name Mytilus galloprovincialis (Mediterranean mussel). The record is from RNAcentral. Lineage: Eukaryota; Metazoa; Mollusca; Bivalvia; Mytilida; Mytilidae.